UAAUACAGAGACCUCAAGCGUUAUCCGGAUUAACUGGGCGUAAAGCGUCCGCAGAUGGUUUAGUAAGUCUCGUGUCAAAUGUCGACGCUCAACGUCGGCACUGCAUAGGAAACUACUAAGCUCGAGGCUGGGAGAGGUGAGCGGAAUUGCUGGUGUAGUAGUAAAAUGCGUUAAUAUCAGCAAGAACACCAAAGGCGAAGGCAGCUCACUGGAACAAGCCUGACAUUCAUGGACGAAAGCGUGGGGAGCGAAUGGG
RNAcentral lists this ribosomal RNA (256 nucleotides) under uncultured bacterium. RNAcentral describes it as "partial 16S ribosomal RNA". It matches the Rfam family "Bacterial small subunit ribosomal RNA", at positions 521 to 776 of the family's 1533-position model. The record is from RNAcentral.